Arachis ipaensis is the source of this 1625-nucleotide non-coding RNA. NCBI's taxonomy places the organism in Eukaryota, Viridiplantae, Streptophyta, Magnoliopsida, Fabales, Fabaceae. The record is from RefSeq and is a predicted model, not a curated record.
UCUGUCGUGUCUUCUACAUGUCAAGUGAGGGGAAAAAUUUGCUCCAUGAGGUCUUUCCUUCACCUAAUGCAACUGUAUUAGAGCAGUUAAGUAAUGUGGACUGCAUUGUAUAUGCCAUGGGUUCCCUUUUCACUUCAAUCUGUCCCUCGUUGGUCUUAUUGGGAAUUGGGGAGAUUAUUUCGUCAAGGUCUUGCCUCAAGUUUGUAUUUUAGGAAUUUAGGCUUGAUAAGAUUGCUUUCAAUUUGCAAGGAGAGCAUUUGUUUCUCUUUUGGAAGAAACAAGCUAUUAAGGUAGUCCGGCUCUUCUUGAUUGCUGAGCAAUAAGACAAAAAGGGUGAUAAGUUUCUGUGCUUUGAUAUGGAAGUCCAGCCAUAGUGCUAUUAGUGGCGUGAAUUUGUUCCAAUGCAUGAAAUUCUAGCGGCGGUCUUUUGUUUUAUUGAAAUUUUAUAGCAAUAUAUGCAUUCUUUUCCAAAAUUCUACUCAUUUUUAUUUUUAUUUCUUAAAUGUUAGGUACUUAUGUUAAAUGGCACACCUGACCGGGAGACUAAUGGGUUUUCGGCUUCUUGUUUUGUUACUGCCAUCACGGAUGCUCUAAAUCGAACAUAUGGAGAUCCUUGCAAUCGGCUAAAGAAUCCUGUGAGUGGGAAUUCCUUCACAAUUGAAGCUAGUUGGUGCCAAAUAGAUAUCUUUAUUUUGAUUUUGGUUUAAAAUAAGGCUUUGAUUAAUUCACUAAAGAGUGCCAAUAUCAUUUUAUUUGAAUGCAUGCUUUUUACCCUGUUGUAAGUGCCAAGUGGUAUACUGUUAAUAAACCCUUAUCGCUCCAUAUGAUGAUUGCUAUUAUAAAAUGAAUUGUCAUAUUUAGUUUACUCUCCCCUUAUUGUUGAUGCAAUUAUUAUUGAAAUUUCAAAGAAACUUUACAUAAAAAUGUAUGAGUUAGGACUUUCGCUUUGGUACUUACUAACUGCUACUAUAGAUAUAUUUGUUUAGUAUUGGUUUUUAUUAUCACGUGUUCAACAUGAUGCAUGCCUGGAAAAGCUUGAGAAAAAUAUUUUUUCUUGGGUGUUUUGCUUCUUUUGAAGCAAAAUGAUGUUAUUUGAUGUGUGUGGAAUCUUACUUCAAAUAAAAAUUCAGAUACUUUGAAAAUUGAUAACUAAAAUUCACAAUACAAUAUGCAUAAUGUGAUGACAAGAUUUUUUCUACCAUUAAUAAUUUUAUGCAACCGAGUUAGUAUGUCAUUUCCAUUUUGGUGCCAAGAAAUAGUUCAGUUCCAGUUGAUGUUGACCGAUUGAAUGCCCAAGGAAUAUUUGAUGUGAUUGUUGUUGACUCCCUACGUGAUUUCAAAGUGGGUAUAAUAUAUAACCCAAAAUUGUUGAUAAGAGCUCUCGCUGACUUAAUUGACAGAUACAUGAAGUCGAAAGGCAAGGAAUUAAUCGAUGCUAGAUGAUAUAAUAAGAGUCUACAAUUAACAAUUUUUUUCCUCUGAAGGAUUUCUAGGUAAAAUUGCCUAUUUAUAAUCAUAUAUUGGAACAAUUUUUCCUCCCAUCCAAAGUACAGCAGUUCGAUGAAACCUUGAUAUAAUAUUUAUUGCCAUAAGUAUUUGAUUAUGUAGGGAUGAUAUAGUUUAAG